GACGAACGCUGGCGGCGUGCUUAACACAUGCAAGUCGUACGGUAAGGCCCUUUCGGGGGUACACGAGUGGCGAACGGGUGAGUAACACGUGAGUAACCUGCCCACAACUUUGGGAUAACGCUAGGAAACUGGUGCUAAUACUGGAUAUGUGCUCCUGCUGCAUGGUGGGGGUUGGAAAGCUCCGGCGGUUGUGGAUGGACUCGCGGCCUAUCAGCUUGUUGGUGGGGUAGUGGCCUACCAAGGCGGCGACGGGUAGCCGGCCUGAGAGGGUGACCGGCCACAGUGGGACUGAGAUACGGCCGAGGCUCCGACGGGAGGCAGCAGUGGGGAAUAUUGCACAAGGGGCGCAAGCCUGAUGCAGCAAGGCCGCGUGCGGGAUAACGGCCUUCGGGUUGGAAACCGCUUUCAGCAGGGACGAAGCUUUUUGUGACGGUACCUGCAGAAGAAGCACCGGCUAACUACGUG
Molecule: ribosomal RNA, 465 nt
Filed under: uncultured bacterium
Lineage: Bacteria
Description: partial 16S ribosomal RNA
Rfam family: Bacterial small subunit ribosomal RNA
Source: RNAcentral